Molecule: non-coding RNA, 111 nt
Organism: Acanthosepion pharaonis
Lineage: Eukaryota; Metazoa; Mollusca; Cephalopoda; Sepiida; Sepiidae
Source: the annotation of a GenBank genome assembly
CAGCCACAUCACAUUGAAAUACUGGUCCUCAUAUGAUUAUUAAAGUUAAGCAACACAGAGCCUGGUCAGUACCUAGAUGGGUGACCACUUGGGAAUAGUAGGUGUUGUAAG